This 484-nucleotide ribosomal RNA is filed under the name uncultured bacterium. RNAcentral's name for it is "partial 16S ribosomal RNA". It matches the Rfam family "Bacterial small subunit ribosomal RNA", at positions 28 to 507 of the family's 1533-position model. The record is from RNAcentral.
GAUUAACGCUAGCGGCAGGCAUAAUACAUGCCAGUUGAACGGCAGCACAGGUAGCAAUACUGGGUGGCGAGUGGCGCACGGGUGCGUAACACGUAUGCAACCUACCCUAUACAGGCGAAUAACCUUUAGAAAUGAGGGCUAAUACGCCGUAGUAUUACAGAUGGGCAUCUAUUUGUAAUUAAAGAUUUAUCGGUAUAGGAUGGGCAUGCGUCCCAUUAGUUAGUUGGUAAGGUAACGGCUUACCAAGACGAUGAUGGGUAGGGGAUCUGAGAGGACUUACCCCCACACUGGUACUGAGACACGGACCAGACUCCUACGGGAGGCAGCAGUAAGGAAUAUUGGGCAAUGGCCGCGAGGCUGACCCAGCCAUGCCGCGUGCAGGAAGACGGCCUUAUGGGUUGUAAACUGCUUUUAUACGGGAAUAAUAGAGUGUACGCGUACAUUUAUGCAAGUAUCGUAUGAAUAAGCAUCGGCUAACUCCGUG